Molecule: ribosomal RNA, 450 nt
Filed under: uncultured bacterium
Lineage: Bacteria
Description: partial 16S ribosomal RNA
Rfam family: Bacterial small subunit ribosomal RNA
Source: RNAcentral
GUGGGGAAUCUUAGACAAUGGGCGAAAGCCUGAUCCAGCCAUGCCGCGUGUGUGAAGAAGGUCUUCGGAUUGUAAAGCACUUUAAGUUGGGAGGAAGGGCAGUAAGUUAAUACCUUGCUGUUUUGACGUUACCGACAGAAUAAGCACCGGCUAACUUCGUGCCAGCAGCCGCGGUAAUACGAAGGGUGCAAGCGUUAAUCGGAAUUACUGGGCGUAAAGCGCGCGUAGGUGGUUUUGUAAGUUGGAGGUGAAAUCCCCGGGCUCAACCUGGGAACUGCCUCCAAAACUGCAUGACUAGAGUACGGUAGAGGGUAGUGGAAUUUCCUGUGUAGCGGUGAAAUGCGUAGAUAUAGGAAGGAACACCAGUGGCGAAGGCGACUACCUGGACUGAUACUGACACUGAGGUGCGAAAGCGUGGGGAGCAAACAGGAUUAGAAACCCGAGUAGUCC